This 584-nucleotide ribosomal RNA is filed under the name Aspergillus sydowii. RNAcentral describes it as "LSU rRNA". It matches the Rfam family "Eukaryotic large subunit ribosomal RNA", at positions 1 to 668 of the family's 3401-position model. The record is from RNAcentral. Lineage: Eukaryota; Fungi; Ascomycota; Eurotiomycetes; Eurotiales; Aspergillaceae.
GUGCUUGGAAGCGGCGCUUCGGCGCAGUGAGCGGCAGAGCUCAAAUUUGAAAUCUGGCCCCUCCGGGGUCCGAGUUGUAAUUUGCAGAGGAUGCUUCGGGUGCGGCCCCUGUCUAAGUGCCCUGGAACGGGCCGUCAGAGAGGGUGAGAAUCCCGUCUUGGGCAGGGUGCCCGUGCCCGUGUGAAGCUCCUUCGACGAGUCGAGUUGUUUGGGAAUGCAGCUCAAAAUGGGUGGUAAAUUUCAUCUAAAGCUAAAUACCGGCCGGAGACCGAUAGCGCACAAGUAGAGUGAUCGAAAGAUGAAAAGCACUUUGAAAAGAGAGUUAAACAGCACGUGAAAUUGUUGAAAGGGAAGCGCUUGCAACCAGACUCGGCCUCGGGGUUCAGCCAGCAUUCGUGCUGGUGUACUUCCCCGGGGCCGGGCCAGCGUCGGUUUGGGCGGCCGGGCAAAGGCCCCAGGAAUGUAUCGUCCUCCGGGACGUCUUAUAGCCUGGGGUGCAAUGCGGCCAUCCUGGACCGAGGAACGCGCUUCGGCACGGACGCUGGCGUAAUGGUCGCAAACGACCCGUCUUGAAACACGGACCA